RNAcentral lists this ribosomal RNA (484 nucleotides) under uncultured bacterium. RNAcentral's name for it is "partial 16S ribosomal RNA". It matches the Rfam family "Bacterial small subunit ribosomal RNA", at positions 30 to 507 of the family's 1533-position model. The record is from RNAcentral.
AUUGAACGCUGGCGGCAGGCCUAACACAUGCAAGUCGAGCGGAUGAAGGGAGCUUGCUUCUGGAUUCAGCGGCGGACGGGUGAGUAAUGCCUAGGAAUCUGCCUGGCAGUGGGGGAUAACGUCCGGAAACGGGCGCUAAUACCGCAUACGUCCUGAGGGAGAAAGUGGGGGAUCUUCGGACCUCACGCUAUCAGAUGAGCCUAGGUCGGAUUAGCUAGUUGGUGGGGUAAAGGCCUACCAAGGCGACGAUCCGUAACUGGUCUGAGAGGAUGAUCAGUCACACUGGAACUGGGACACGGUCCAGACUCCUACGGGAGGCAGCAGUGGGGAAUAUUGGACAAUGGGCGAAAGCCUGAUCCAGCCAUGCCGCGUGUGUGAAGAAGGUCUUCGGAUUGUAAAGCACUUUAAGUUGGGAGAAAGGGCAGUAAGUUAAUACCUUGCUGUUUUGACGUUACCAACAGAAUAAGCACCGGCUAACUUCGUG